AUGGCCGCCGCCUCGUCCUCCUCCUGCGGCGGCGCCGGCUGCGGGACCCACUGCUCCUCCUCCACCUCGUCAUCCGUAGAGGAUGCUCCGGAGGGGAUUCUGGGCCGUCUGUCCAUAUCCGGUGCCGCCGCCUCCUGCGGCAAGUGCGGCGGCGGCGCCGUCGUCGUGGUUGCCGGAGGCGUCGGUCUGUGCGGAGAGUGCUUGCGCGCCCAGCUGUUCGGGAAGUUCAAGCUCGCCGUCACAAGCAACGCCAUGGUUCGGCCAACCGACUCCGUCCUCGUCGCCUUCUCCGGCGGCCCCGCCUCCAGGGUGGCUCUGCAAUUCAUACAUGAGAUGCGGUCCAAGGCAAUCGAAAGCUGGGACGCCAGCAAUUCGCAAGCCCUACCCGUCUUCAAUGUCGGGGCGGCGUUCGUUGACGAGAGUGUUUUGUUGUCGAAGCCCGAAUGUGAAGUUGAGCAGGCAACUGAAGAUAUUAAGUCACUUGUGUCGAGUUUGUUGCCGGGAGAUAAAGCAAUGCACAUUGCCUCUCUUGAUUAUGUGUUCUCGUCGGAAUCAAAAGACGGCAAAGGCAGGCUGAGGGAGCUAGUUGGCAUGAUUACUGAUGACACUGGGAGGGAGGAUCUUCUUCAGUGCUUGCGCAUGCUUUCGUUGCAGAAGAUUGCACUGGAAAAUGGGUACACAAAGAUCAUGCUGGGAUCAUGUGCUUCUACAAUAGCAUGUCAUGUGCUAUCUGCAACAGUAAAGGGCCAAGGUUAUUCCUUACCAGCUGAUAUCCAAUAUGUUGAUACACGGUGGGAAGUGCCUGUCGUUCUUCCACUUCGUGAUUGCCUGGCCCAAGAGCUUAGCCUGCUCUGUGAAUUUGAUAGUUUAAAGACACAGGAACUUCUUGAUAGGCCUUGCAGUGGCAUCAAUGGCUUAGUCGCAUCUUUUGUUGCACGACUAAGGGAGGAGAAUCCUUCUCGUGAGCAUACUAUUGUAAGAACUGCACAAAAACUUAAGCCAUUCCCUUUUAACAAGUUCUCAGCAAAUGGCUAUCAUGAUUUCCUGCCGUCGCGGCUGCGUCCCAAGUUCCAGGAUGUUGAUAGCGAUGAGUCUGCUUCCUCUGAGGUUCUCUGCCUGAUAUGUCGAAGUCCAUUCAGUGAAUCAGAACUCCAGAAUUUUGAAAGCACAAGGCGCAAGUCUCAGAAGAAAAUUGAUCUGUAUACUGCUUAUUGCUGUCAAAGCUGUCAUUUCCAGAUUCUACCAGGAGGUAGAGACCUGUAUGACCAUUUCUUUUCACUAAUACCAAGGUUCUGGACUGAGAGAGCAGAUACUGCAUCUGCCAGCCAUAGCUCGCUAAGUUACUCCAUUGAUUUGGCCGUGUAUUAUUUUCUUGUUCAUUUUGAUAGUGCACUGAUUCAGUGA
RNAcentral lists this ribosomal RNA (1404 nucleotides) under Triticum aestivum (bread wheat). Its description in RNAcentral is "partial small subunit ribosomal RNA". Lineage: Eukaryota; Viridiplantae; Streptophyta; Magnoliopsida; Poales; Poaceae. The record is from RNAcentral.